AUGAUUAAUGUGCUAUGCAACUUCCAUUCGCGAGGGGGGGGCUGUGUUUACACAUCAUACCAUGGGUUUCAUGAAUCACCAUAUCCAGAGAUUCGUCGACACAGCUUGUUGCCAGUACCAUAUAACUGGAAUUACCGAUGCAAGUCGAAGAAGGAUUGGUCGGUGCUGCCGGCUGGCGUCAAGUUCUAUCCCAUGGAACAGGAGCUGAUCGAGCACCUUGAGGCCGAAGUGAGUGUUGACAACGCGAGAUUUCAGUCUCUCAUCGAUUUGUUCAUACCAACCAUCGACAGCGAGCACGGCAUAUGCUACACCCAACCUGAGAAACUUCCAGCAAAAAAGGUUCUGGUGCUGCACACCAACAAGAACUUCGACCAGCAGAGGACCAACUGGGUGAUGCACCAGUACCACAUUGGGGACCUGGAGCAAGAGAAGGAGCGGGAGCUGGUCCUCUGCAAGAUUUUCUACCAGACGAACACUAGGGCCAGGAGUAGUUUGGUAUUUGUAGUUGUACUACCUUGUUGUCCGCAAGUUGGUAUUGUUGUUAACGAUCUUUUGCUAUGA
This 561-nucleotide ribosomal RNA is filed under the name Triticum aestivum (bread wheat). RNAcentral describes it as "partial small subunit ribosomal RNA". The record is from RNAcentral. Lineage: Eukaryota; Viridiplantae; Streptophyta; Magnoliopsida; Poales; Poaceae.